This is a small nuclear RNA of Octodon degus (degu), 103 nucleotides long. NCBI's taxonomy places the organism in Eukaryota, Metazoa, Chordata, Mammalia, Rodentia, Octodontidae. The record is from Ensembl.
UUGCUUCAGUAGCAUACUUACAAAAGAUUGAACAAUACUUAGAAGAUUAGCAUAGCCUCUGCACAAGGAUGACUUGCAAAUCUGUGAAGUGUUCCAUAUUAAC